UGCUACAGAGAGCCCUAGGCAGAGAGA
This 27-nucleotide non-coding RNA is filed under the name Rattus norvegicus (Norway rat). Lineage: Eukaryota; Metazoa; Chordata; Mammalia; Rodentia; Muridae. The record is from RNAcentral.